CCAUUAGCGGAGGAAAAGAAACUAACUAGGAUUCCCUUAGUAACGGCGAGUGAACCGGGAUGAGCUCAAAUUUGAAAUCUGGCGUCUUUCAGGCGUCCGAGUUGUAAUCUAUAGAGGCGUUUUCCGCGCCGGACCGCGUCCAAGUCUCUUGGAAUAGAGUAUCAAAGAGGGUGACAAUCCCGUACUUGACGCGACAACCGGUGCUCUGUGAUACGUUCUCAACGAGUCGAGUUGUUUGGGAAUGCAGCUCUAAAUGGGUGGUAAAUUCCAUCUAAGGCUAAAUAUUGGCGAGAGACCGAUAGCGAACAAGUACCGUGAGGGAAAGAUGAAAAGCACUUUGGAAAGAGAGUUAAACAGCACGUGAAAUUGUUAAAAGGGAAACGAUUGAAGUCAGUCGUGUGAAAGGUAUUCAGCCGUCUCUGGCGGUGUAUUUGCCUUUCACGGGUCAACAUCAGUUUAGUCCGGUAGAAAAAGGCUGGAGGAAGGUGGCACCCUCGGGUGUGUUAUAGCCUCCUGUCACAUGUGCCGGAUUAGACUGAGGAACGCAGCUUGCCGCAAGGCCGGGGUUCGCCCACGUACAAGCUUAGGAUGUUGACAUAAUGGCUUUAAACGACCCGUCUUGAACCAAC
RNAcentral lists this ribosomal RNA (629 nucleotides) under Cryptococcus sp. PDD-67b-8. RNAcentral describes it as "eukaryotic LSU rRNA". It matches the Rfam family "Eukaryotic large subunit ribosomal RNA", at positions 44 to 662 of the family's 3401-position model. Lineage: Eukaryota; Fungi; Basidiomycota; Tremellomycetes; Tremellales; Cryptococcaceae. The record is from RNAcentral.